CCUACGGGAGGCAGCAGUAGGGAAUAUUGCUCAAUGGGGGAAACCCUGAUGCAGCGACGCCGCGUGAGUGAAGAAGUAUUUCGGUAUGUAAAGCUCUAUCAGCAGGGAAGAAAUAAAGUCCUUCGGACUUUGGACGGUACCUGACUAAGAAGCCCCGGCUAACUACGUGCCAGCAGCCGCGGUAAUACGUAGGGGGCAAGCGUUAUCCGGAUUUACUGGGUGUAAAGGGCGCGUAGACGGCCGCGCAAGUCUGGAGUGAAAUCCCAUGGCUUAACCAUGGAACUGCUUUGGAAACUGUGCAGCUGGAGUGCAGGAGAGGUAAGCGGAAUUCCUAGGGUAGCGGUGAAAUGCGUAGAUAUUAGGAGGAACACCAGUGGCGAAGGCGGCUUACUGGACUGUAACUGACGUUGAGGCUCGAAAGCGUGGGGAGCAAACAGGAUUAGAUACCCGAGUAGUC
Molecule: ribosomal RNA, 457 nt
Filed under: uncultured bacterium
Lineage: Bacteria
Description: partial 16S ribosomal RNA
Rfam family: Bacterial small subunit ribosomal RNA
Source: RNAcentral